This 1486-nucleotide ribosomal RNA is filed under the name Escherichia coli. RNAcentral's name for it is "partial 23S ribosomal RNA". It matches the Rfam family "Bacterial large subunit ribosomal RNA", at positions 296 to 1784 of the family's 2925-position model. The record is from RNAcentral. Lineage: Bacteria; Pseudomonadati; Pseudomonadota; Gammaproteobacteria; Enterobacterales; Enterobacteriaceae.
AGCAGCCCAGAGCCUGAAUCAGUGUGUGUGUUAGUGGAAGCGUCUGGAAAGGCGCGCGAUACAGGGUGACAGCCCCGUACACAAAAAUGCACAUGCUGUGAGCUCGAUGAGUAGGGCGGGACACGUGGUAUCCUGUCUGAAUAUGGGGGGACCAUCCUCCAAGGCUAAAUACUCCUGACUGACCGAUAGUGAACCAGUACCGUGAGGGAAAGGCGAAAAGAACCCCGGCGAGGGGAGUGAAAAAGAACCUGAAACCGUGUACGUACAAGCAGUGGGAGCACGCUUAGGCGUGUGACUGCGUACCUUUUGUAUAAUGGGUCAGCGACUUAUAUUCUGUAGCAAGGUUAACCGAAUAGGGGAGCCGAAGGGAAACCGAGUCUUAACUGGGCGUUAAGUUGCAGGGUAUAGACCCGAAACCCGGUGAUCUAGCCAUGGGCAGGUUGAAGGUUGGGUAACACUAACUGGAGGACCGAACCGACUAAUGUUGAAAAAUUAGCGGAUGACUUGUGGCUGGGGGUGAAAGGCCAAUCAAACCGGGAGAUAGCUGGUUCUCCCCGAAAGCUAUUUAGGUAGCGCCUCGUGAAUUCAUCUCCGGGGGUAGAGCACUGUUUCGGCAAGGGGGUCAUCCCGACUUACCAACCCGAUGCAAACUGCGAAUACCGGAGAAUGUUAUCACGGGAGACACACGGCGGGUGCUAACGUCCGUCGUGAAGAGGGAAACAACCCAGACCGCCAGCUAAGGUCCCAAAGUCAUGGUUAAGUGGGAAACGAUGUGGGAAGGCCCAGACAGCCAGGAUGUUGGCUUAGAAGCAGCCAUCAUUUAAAGAAAGCGUAAUAGCUCACUGGUCGAGUCGGCCUGCGCGGAAGAUGUAACGGGGCUAAACCAUGCACCGAAGCUGCGGCAGCGACACUGUGUGUUGUUGGGUAGGGGAGCGUUCUGUAAGCCUGUGAAGGUGUACUGUGAGGUAUGCUGGAGGUAUCAGAAGUGCGAAUGCUGACAUAAGUAACGAUAAAGCGGGUGAAAAGCCCGCUCGCCGGAAGACCAAGGGUUCCUGUCCAACGUUAAUCGGGGCAGGGUGAGUCGACCCCUAAGGCGAGGCCGAAAGGCGUAGUCGAUGGGAAACAGGUUAAUAUUCCUGUACUUGGUGUUACUGCGAAGGGGGGACGGAGAAGGCUAUGUUGGCCGGGCGACGGUUGUCCCGGUUUAAGCGUGUAGGCUGGUUUUCCAGGCAAAUCCGGAAAAUCAAGGCUGAGGCGUGAUGACGAGGCACUACGGUGCUGAAGCAACAAAUGCCCUGCUUCCAGGAAAAGCCUCUAAGCAUCAGGUAACAUCAAAUCGUACCCCAAACCGACACAGGUGGUCAGGUAGAGAAUACCAAGGCGCUUGAGAGAACUCGGGUGAAGGAACUAGGCAAAAUGGUGCCGUAACUUCGGGAGAAGGCACGCUGAUAUGUAGGUGAAGUCCCUCGCGGAUGGAGCUGAAAUC